AGGCCACUGUGUUCACGUCACAGUCUACUCACUAUUAUGUCAUCAAUGGACAGUAGAGAAAAUGAGCUCUCCUGGGAGAUGGUAACACAGAUUUCCACCUUCUGAAAGCUACAGAGGAAUACUGGCCAGGUUCUUUCUGCCUGUUCUGGGCAUGCUGUGCUUUUCAGGAGGUGCAAAACGCUGCUGCUUCUGACAGCAGGGAGAAGUGGCACCUUCAGCUCUGGAAUACAACUACGCAUCUUUUUGACGUGAGAGAAAAGCUGAAGCAUAGGGUGAAUCCUUUGGGAGGAAUAAAAAAGCCCUCAACCUGCAUCAACAUCAGCUCCUGCAAUUCCUUUCGAAUCAGGCAAGCUGCUGCCAAACUCUCCAUAGAACGGUUCAAGACACAGCAGGUCAUGCAGGCUCAGGAGCAGGAAUGUCUCUGAUGGCUGACAAAUGGGUAACAGCAGCUUUGUGACAUUUUACAGGGCAGUACUCUCAGAUGCUGCAGUAAGAGAACUUACUUCCAGUACCAGAUGAGACAACUGACCCAAAAUGCCACUUAUCCUCACUUUUUAGGGCCAGCAUCUGACUCUUCAGGGGAACUAAAAAAGCCUUGAGACAUCUAUUCAACUGAUUGUGCCAUGCUAUAUAAAAAUCAAGAUAUUCCUUCCUGAUACACUGUCACCUUGUUCCCUGACUCAGCCCCACAUCUCCAUCACACUUCUCUCUUGAUACAGCAGGCAAAGCAUUUUUAAGGUCCAGAACAACUCCAAGUGUCACUGAAGUCAUCCUGCAUGCCCUACACCCACCAUGCAAUGACUCCAGCCAAAACAGAUGCGUAUACUCAGCUCUGCUGGGCCCUGCUCAGCUCACCAGGGAUAGAACACACUGCUGAGGUCAACCUGCAAUUAUUUAAGGUGAAACCCUGCUCCUUUUUGGUAUAAUAACCAUCACAGCAGUCUGUGCAGCUGCCAUUAUUCCCAACCUUUCAUGCAAAUUCUCAUUCUCUCGGGCACAAUCACACACCAUUGAAGAAAAAGCAGCUCCAGUUUACCUUUAAGAGGAAAGGAACUCUGCUCAUUUGCCAUCAAACUCCUGCCUAAAUGACAGAACGUCAUGCAGGAGGAACCCAGUUUGAAUGAUUUCAGAACAAUAUCCCUGAGGUAUAUUACAGGAGAAG
Molecule: long non-coding RNA, 1162 nt
Filed under: Gallus gallus (chicken)
Lineage: Eukaryota; Metazoa; Chordata; Aves; Galliformes; Phasianidae
Description: long non-coding RNA NONGGAT004684
Source: RNAcentral